AGUGAACGCUGGCGGUAGGCCUAACACAUGCAAGUCGAACGGCAGCACAGGAGAGCUUGCUCUCUGGGUGGCGAGUGGCGGACGGGUGAGGAAUACAUCGGAAUCUACUUUUUCGUGGGGGAUAACGUAGGGAAACUUACGCUAAUACCGCAUACGACCUACGGGUGAAAGCAGGGGAUCUUCGGACCUUGCGCGAUUGAAUGAGCCGAUGUCGGAUUAGCUAGUUGGCGGGGUAAAGGCCCACCAAGGCGACGAUCCGUAGCUGGUCUGAGAGGAUGAUCAGCCACACUGGAACUGAGACACGGUCCAGACUCCUACGGGAGGCAGCAGUGGGGAAUAUUGGACAAUGGGCGCAAGCCUGAUCCAGCCAUACCGCGUGGGUGAAGAAGGCCUUCGGGUUGCAAAGCCCUUUUGUUGGGAAAGAAAUCCAGCUGGUUAAUACCCUGUUGGGAUGACGGUACCCAAAGAAUAAGCACCGGCUAACUUCGUGCCAGCCGCCGCGGUAA
This 506-nucleotide ribosomal RNA is filed under the name uncultured bacterium. RNAcentral's name for it is "partial 16S ribosomal RNA". It matches the Rfam family "Bacterial small subunit ribosomal RNA", at positions 29 to 523 of the family's 1533-position model. The record is from RNAcentral.